GAACGCUAGCGGCGUGCCUAACACAUGCAAGUCGAACGUGAAGAAGACUUCGGUCUUUGGAAAGUGGCGGACGGGUGAGUAAGACGUAGGUAACCUGCCUUGAAGUGGGGGAUAACCAUUGGAAACGAUGGCUAAUACCGCAUGGUUCUGUCGAUACGGGAGUAUGGACAGGUAAAGCUCCGGCGCUUCAAGAGGGGCCUACGGCCGAUUAGUUAGUUGGUGAGGUAAUGGCUCACCAAGACGAUGAUCGGUAGCUGGUCUGAGAGGACGAUCAGCCACACGGGAACUGAGACACGGUCCCGACUCCUACGGGGGGCAGCAGUGAGGAAUAUUCGUCAAUGGGGGCAACCCUGAACGAGCAACGCCGCGUGGAGUAUGAAGGCCCUUGGGUUGUAAACUCCUUUUCUGUGGGAAGAGGAAGGACGGUACCACAGGAAUAAGUCACGGCUAACUACGUGCCAGCAGCCGCGGUAAUACGUAGGUGGCAAGCGUUAUCCGGAUUUACUGGGCGUAAAGCGCACGCAGGCGGCUGUCCAAGU
Molecule: ribosomal RNA, 539 nt
Filed under: uncultured bacterium
Lineage: Bacteria
Description: bacterial SSU rRNA
Rfam family: Bacterial small subunit ribosomal RNA
Source: RNAcentral